This 253-nucleotide ribosomal RNA is filed under the name uncultured bacterium. RNAcentral describes it as "partial 16S ribosomal RNA". It matches the Rfam family "Bacterial small subunit ribosomal RNA", at positions 524 to 776 of the family's 1533-position model. The record is from RNAcentral.
UACGUAGGGGGCAAGCGUUGUCCGGAAUCAUUGGGCGUAAAGAGCGUGUAGGUGGCUCGGUAAGUCCGCUGUGAAAGUCCAGGGCUCAACCCUGGAAUGCCGGUGGAAACUGUCGAGCUCGAGUCCGGAAGAGGCGAGUGGAAUUCCUGGUGUAGCGGUGAAAUGCGCAGAUAUCAGGAAGAACACCCGUGGCGAAGGCGGCUCUCUGGAACGCAACUGACGCUGAGACGCGAAAGCGUGGGGAGCAAACAGG